RNAcentral lists this ribosomal RNA (579 nucleotides) under uncultured bacterium. Its description in RNAcentral is "bacterial SSU rRNA". It matches the Rfam family "Bacterial small subunit ribosomal RNA", at positions 49 to 644 of the family's 1533-position model. The record is from RNAcentral.
GAACGGGUGUACGGGAUGGAAGAUUUCGGUCGGAAGCCCCGUGCAUGAGUGGCGGACGGGUGAGUAACGCGUGGGCAACCUGCCCUGUACAGGGGGACAACACUUAGAAAUAGGUGCUAAUACCGCAUAACGGGGGGAGCCGCAUGGCUUUCCCCUGAAAACUCCGGUGGUACAGGAUGGGCCCGCGUCUGAUUAGCUGGUUGGCAGGGUAACGGCCUACCAAGGCGACGAUCAGUAGCCGGCCUGAGAGGGCGGACGGCCACACUGGGACUGAGACACGGCCCAGACUCCUACGGGAGGCAGCAGUGGGGGAUAUUGCACAAUGGGGGGAACCCUGAUGCAGCGACGCCGCGUGGGUGAAGGAGCGUUUCGGCGCGUAAAGCCCUAUCGGCAGGGAAGAAGGAGGACGGUACCUGACUAAGAAGCCCCGGCUAACUACGUGCCAGCAGCCGCGGUAAUACGUAGGGGGCAAGCGUUAUUCGGAUUUACUGGGUGUAAAGGGGGCGCAGACGGCAGCGCAAGCCAGGAGUGAAAGCCCGGGGCCCAACCCCGGGACUGCUCUUGGAACUGCGCGGCUGG